Molecule: non-coding RNA, 101 nt
Organism: Armillaria borealis
Lineage: Eukaryota; Fungi; Basidiomycota; Agaricomycetes; Agaricales; Physalacriaceae
Source: the annotation of a GenBank genome assembly
GACACGAUGGAUCAAUGGUAGAUCAUCUCCAACCUAUUAUGAGACAACAAACCAAGGUUGUAAUGUAGGAGGAAAUCACGGUUCGAUUCCGUGUUGUGGCA